Molecule: long non-coding RNA, 364 nt
Organism: Thunnus maccoyii (southern bluefin tuna)
Lineage: Eukaryota; Metazoa; Chordata; Actinopteri; Scombriformes; Scombridae
Exons: 3
Source: RefSeq, a predicted model, not a curated record
UCUUCCUCUUACAGGCUACUGAUUCCAUCUGCUCUCUUUUUUUCAAUUUUAUUUUAUUUUUAAAAGGUGGCAUAGGUCAGGGAUUGCUUUGGAACAAAAAAACUGAUUCGACAGCCCACCAUGACUCAGUAACUGAUGGCGGAAGAUACUGGAUUUUAUCAUGGCAUUGAUGAAGAAGCUGCAUUCAAUAUGGAUUGGUCACAUCAUGGCCGAUACCCGAUUCGCUCAAUAAGGAGAGGAGGCUUGUAUAAUAAAGACCAGCAAGGAAUGCAACUUUUUUGUGCAGGAUUACUUGCCCCCACCCCACAUGGACAGGACAUGUUAAAGAGAGAAAAUAAAGUCAUGUCAUCCUAUACAAGGAUAA